GGUUUCAUGUUGAAGUUGGUUAUCACAUCAGUCUAACACACUUAAGGUCUUUGGUUCAAGUCCGGGCGAAGCCA
Transfer RNA from Ipomoea nil (Japanese morning glory), 74 nucleotides. It matches the Rfam family "tRNA". From Rfam's summary of the family: Transfer RNA (tRNA) molecules are approximately 80 nucleotides in length. Their secondary structure includes four short double-helical elements and three loops (D, anti-codon, and T loops). NCBI's taxonomy places the organism in Eukaryota, Viridiplantae, Streptophyta, Magnoliopsida, Solanales, Convolvulaceae. The record is from Rfam.